RNAcentral lists this transfer RNA (84 nucleotides) under Candidatus Iainarchaeum sp. Its description in RNAcentral is "tRNA-Leu". It matches the Rfam family "tRNA". From Rfam's summary of the family: Transfer RNA (tRNA) molecules are approximately 80 nucleotides in length. Their secondary structure includes four short double-helical elements and three loops (D, anti-codon, and T loops). Lineage: Archaea; Nanobdellati; Candidatus Iainarchaeota; Candidatus Iainarchaeia; Candidatus Iainarchaeales; Candidatus Iainarchaeaceae. The record is from RNAcentral.
GCAGGGGUUCCCGAGCGGUCAAAGGGGCAGGACUUAAGAUCCUGUGGCUUAGUGCCUUCGAGAGUUCGAAUCUCUCCCCCUGCA